This 107-nucleotide small RNA is filed under the name Marmota monax (woodchuck). Lineage: Eukaryota; Metazoa; Chordata; Mammalia; Rodentia; Sciuridae. The record is from RNAcentral.
GCUAGGUGCGACGGCGCAUGCCUAUAAUCCCAGUGACUUGGGAGGCUGAGGCAGGAGGAUCACAAGUUGGAGGCCAGCCUCAGCAACUUCGUGAGACCCAGUCUCAA